GACGAACGCUGUCGGCGUGCUUAACACAUGCAAGUCGAACGGUGAACCUCUUCGGAGGGGAUCAGUGGCGAACGGGUGAGUAACACGUGGGCAACCUGCCCCCGGCUCUGGGAUAACUCCAAGAAAUUGGGGCUAAUACCGGAUGUUCACCGCUUCCCGCAUGGGUGGUGGUGGAAAGGGUUUCCGGCUGGGGAUGGGCCCGCGGCCUAUCAGCUUGUUGGUGGGGUAGUGGCCUACCAAGGCGACGACGGGUAGCCGGCCUGAGAGGGUGACCGGCCACACUGGGACUGAGACACGGCCCAGACUCCUACGGGAGGCAGCAGUGGGGAAUAUUGCGCAAUGGGCGGAAGCCUGACGCAGCGACGCCGCGUGGGGGAUGACGGCCUUCGGGUUGUAAACCUCUUUCAGCAGGGACGAAGCGCAAGUGACGGUACCUGCAGAAGAAGCACCGGCCAACUACGUG
RNAcentral lists this ribosomal RNA (463 nucleotides) under uncultured bacterium. Its description in RNAcentral is "partial 16S ribosomal RNA". It matches the Rfam family "Bacterial small subunit ribosomal RNA", at positions 28 to 507 of the family's 1533-position model. The record is from RNAcentral.